This 333-nucleotide long non-coding RNA is filed under the name Homo sapiens (human). RNAcentral describes it as "non-protein coding FTX:46". The record is from RNAcentral. Lineage: Eukaryota; Metazoa; Chordata; Mammalia; Primates; Hominidae.
ACAUUUGGGCAGUACGCAUUCGGAGGGCUCUCUGGCUUUCCGAUCUUGGGUCGCUGUACUUGGCUCUGAAUACAGUCACCCCAUCAGAGUAGCAAAACACUGUGGUUGUAGUGUGAGAAUCCAAUGUUAAUGUUGGCCGAAAGCUCUUGAUUUUCUUCCCUGAGAACAUAGGCGUGAGGAUUUGGAUGUGUUUCCAAAUGCUUGUUACUCUUUGCCGUAAACCUGGAAUUUGGACCUAUGGCUGCCUGGGACUCAUACUGUCGUGGAGAAAGAUUGAAAAGUAGUUAAUGGCAGUGGUGGUAUGAAGGAUACAUUCGUGGAAGUGGAGUUAGU